CCUACGGGUGGCAGCAGUGGGGGAUAUUGCACAAUGGGCGCAAGCCUGAUGCAGCGACGCCGCGUGAGCGAAGAAGUAUUUCGGUAUGUAAAGCUCUAUCAGCAGGGAAGAAAAUGACGGUACCUGACUAAGAAGCUCCGGCUAACUACGUGCCAGCAGCCGCGGUAAUACGUAGGGGGCAAGCGUUAUCCGGAUUUACUGGGGGUAAAGGGAGCGUAGACGGUUAUGUAAGUCUGGAGUGAAAGCCCGGGGCCCAACCCCGGGACUGCUUUGGAAACUGUGUAACUGGAGUACAGGAGGGGCAGGCGGAAUUCCUGGUGUAGCGGUGAAAUGCGUAGAUAUCAGGAGGAACACCGGCGGCGAAGGCGGCCUGCUGGACUGAAACUGACGUUGAGGCUCGAAAGCGUGGGGAGCAAACAGGAUUAGAUACCCCUGUAGUC
RNAcentral lists this ribosomal RNA (440 nucleotides) under uncultured bacterium. RNAcentral describes it as "partial 16S ribosomal RNA". It matches the Rfam family "Bacterial small subunit ribosomal RNA", at positions 338 to 795 of the family's 1533-position model. The record is from RNAcentral.